CAGGGAGAACUCCAAUGGCGUCUGCCAGUGUCUGUGUCAGCACACCCACACCAGGCCACAACAAUGGCCACUGCCAAUGUCGCAGUCCCUGGAGAGGUCUCACCUCUCACCAAGAUGCACCCAGAACCUAUCAGAAAAGAGAAUCUUGAUGGCAUAUUUAAAAGGAAGCCCCAACGUUAACUGCAACCCCACAGAUGUGGGAGUACUUUAACCUAUGUGAUGUCACGUGGGAAGGAUCUCUGAAGCAUCUGAAGAGCCGGCUUGAAUGAUCUGCACCUUAGCGCCAAUAACAAUGAUGCGGCUUUGACAGCUGCAUCUUGGCCAGAGGACACAGAAGGUCUCCAGCCCAAAUACACUAUCAUCAGCACCAGAUUCCAAGCAGAGAAGGCCAAUAAAUAUUAUGGUCCCAAAGUCAAACUGCAAGUUUCCUCUUUAGGAACUGAUAAAACCAUGCAGCGAGACUAUCAGAGCGUCAUCACAUCAGGAGGCAUAGAGAUGACAUGUUCAGCAAUAUCAAAUGUAAAAUCUCAAAGUCCAUUUUAGUCUAAAUGUGCUCCAGAGUUAAACCAAAGAAAUCCUCCUGCCAAGUUGCUCUCUGAGUCAGAAAAGAAUAAAAUGCAAGUCACUCUCAGUUAAAUUUUCAUAAAUGUGAAAAUGGUCUCUUCUUUUUAUUCUUUAGUGGGAUCACUCCCAAGACUGUUUGGAGCCAUUUUUAUACCCACUUUGAUUAGAUUACAUUUCUCUGAACUUCGCUGCAUGACUGUUAAAGGGGAAUGAUAAAAGAUACAAUGUGAAUCUGUGAAUAAAAGUGCUUCUUCAAAAGUGGCUUUUCUGUUAUGCAAGAGGCAAUCAAUGACAUACCAGGAUCUUCUCUGCUGCAAUACUUGAUAAUUUUUUUCGAUUGGGAUGUUUCACAAACUUUUGCUCUCCACAUCAACCCAUGAUAGGCUCUAGUUCAAGUUUAUUAACUGGCAAUAUUUAUUUCUAGGAGUAAUUACCACAAGAUCAGAAAAGUGCACUGUGAAUUAUUUACAUUCUUUGCUAUUUUAAUAUUUAACAUAGAAUUUGAAGACUUUUAAUGAUUAUAUGUUCUUAUUGUUGGCUUAUGUCCUGCAUGUCAAAAAUUGACUUUUAC
Molecule: long non-coding RNA, 1135 nt
Organism: Diceros bicornis minor
Lineage: Eukaryota; Metazoa; Chordata; Mammalia; Perissodactyla; Rhinocerotidae
Exons: 4
Source: RefSeq, a predicted model, not a curated record